RNAcentral lists this ribosomal RNA (497 nucleotides) under uncultured bacterium. Its description in RNAcentral is "partial 16S ribosomal RNA". It matches the Rfam family "Bacterial small subunit ribosomal RNA", at positions 28 to 507 of the family's 1533-position model. The record is from RNAcentral.
GAUGAACGCUGGCGGCGUGCCUAAUACAUGCAAGUCGAGCGAACAGAUAAGGAGCUUGCUCCUUUGACGUUAGCGGCGGACGGGUGAGUAACACGUGGGCAACCUACCUAUAAGACUGGAAUAACUCCGGGAAACCGGGGCUAAUGCCGGAUAACAUUUAGAACCGCAUGGUUCUAAAGUGAAAGAUGGUUUUGCUAUCACUUAUACAUGGACCCGCGCCGUAUUAGCUAGUUGGUAAGGUAACGGCUUACCAAGGCAACGAUGCGUAGCCGACCUGAGAGGGUGAUCGGCCACACUGGAACUGAGACACGGUCCAGACUCCUACGGGAGGCAGCAGUAGGGAAUCUUCCGCAAUGGGCGAAAGCCUGACGGAGCAACGCCGCGUGAGUGAUGAAGGUCUUCGGAUCGUAAAACUCUGUUAUUAGGGAAGAACAAAUGUGUAAGUAACUGUGCACGUCUUGACGGUACCUAAUCAGAAAGCCACGGCUAACUACGUG